RNAcentral lists this ribosomal RNA (254 nucleotides) under uncultured bacterium. Its description in RNAcentral is "partial 16S ribosomal RNA". It matches the Rfam family "Bacterial small subunit ribosomal RNA", at positions 524 to 776 of the family's 1533-position model. The record is from RNAcentral.
UACGUAGGGGGCUAGCGUUGUCCGGAUUUAUUGGGCGUAAAGAGCUCGUAGGCGGUUCAGUAAGUCGGGUGUGAAAACUCUGGGCUCAACCCAGAGACGCCACCCGAUACUGCUGUGACUUGAGUACGGUAGGGGAGUGGGGAAUUCCUGGUGUAGCGGUGAAAUGCGCAGAUAUCAGGAGGAACACCAGUGGCGAAGGCGCCACUCUGGGCCGUAACUGACGCUGAGGAGCGAAAGCGUGGGUAGCAAACAGG